AACGUAGGACACAAGCGUUAUCCGGAAUUACUGGGCGUAAAGGGUGCGCAGGCGGUUAUAUAAGACAGAUGUGAAAUCCCCGGGCUCAACCUGGGAACUGCGUUUGUGACUGUAUGACUAGAGUACGGUAGAGAGGGGUGGAAUUCCUGGUGUAGCAGUGAAAUGCGUAGAUAUCAGGAGGAACAUCGAUGGCGAAGGCAGCCUUCUGGGCCAACACUGACGCUCAUGCACGAAAGCGUGGGGAGCAAACAGG
RNAcentral lists this ribosomal RNA (253 nucleotides) under uncultured bacterium. Its description in RNAcentral is "partial 16S ribosomal RNA". It matches the Rfam family "Bacterial small subunit ribosomal RNA", at positions 524 to 776 of the family's 1533-position model. The record is from RNAcentral.